AUAACGGUCCUAAGGUAGCGAAAUUCCUUGUCGGGUAAGUUCCGACCUGCACGAAAGGCGCAACGACUUGGGCGCUGUCUCGACCAUGGACCCGGUGAAAUUGCACUGGUCGUGAAGAUGCGACUUACCCGCGGAAGGACGGAAAGACCCCGUGAACCUUCACUGCAGCUUGGCAUUGGCCGCUGGUCCCGCGUGUAGAGGAUAGGCAGGAGGCAUCGAUCCGGAGGCGCCAGCCCCCGGGGAGCCGCCCUUGGAAUACUGCCCUCGCGCGACCGGCGUCCUAACCCGAGGCCGUCAACCGGCUCGGGGACCGUGCCAGGCGGGCAGUUUGACUGGGGCGGUCGCCUCCUAAAGGGUAACGGAGGCGCGCGAAGGUCCGCUCGGGACGGUCGGCAACCGUCCUUUUGAAUGCAAGAGUACAAGCGGGCUUGACUGCGAGGCCCACAAGCCGAGCAGGUGCGAAAGCAGGCUCUAGUGAUCCGGCGGCCCCGAGUGGGUGGGCCGUCGCUCAACGGAUAAAAGGUACUCCGGGGAUAACAGGCUGAUCUUGCCCAAGAGUCCACAUCGACGGCAAGGUUUGGCACCUCGAUGUCGGCUCAUCGCAUCCUGGGGCUGAAGUAGGUCCCAAGGGUUGGGCUGUUCGCCCAUUAAAGCGGUACGCGAGCUGGGUUCAGAACGUCGUGAGACAGUUCGGUCCCUAUCCUCCGUGGGCGCAGGAGAAUCGAUGGAGGCUGCCCCCAGUACGAGAGGACCGGGGUGGACGCACCUCCGGUGAACCGGUUGUCGACCAACGGCACGGCCGGGUAGCCGCGUGCGGCGCGGAUAACCGCUGAAGGCAUCUAAGCGGGAAGCCGUUCCAGGGAUUAGUUCUCCUUCCGGUAAGGGCCCAGGUAGACUACCUGGUCGAUAGACGGCAGGUGCAAGGCUGGCGACAGCCUCAGCCGAGCCGCACUAAUCGCCCGAGCUCUUCCGGAA
RNAcentral lists this ribosomal RNA (975 nucleotides) under human gut metagenome. RNAcentral describes it as "bacterial LSU rRNA". It matches the Rfam family "Bacterial large subunit ribosomal RNA", at positions 1942 to 2925 of the family's 2925-position model. The record is from RNAcentral.